Corvus hawaiiensis (hawaiian crow) is the source of this 609-nucleotide long non-coding RNA. RefSeq lists it as uncharacterized. The record is from RefSeq and is a predicted model, not a curated record. NCBI's taxonomy places the organism in Eukaryota, Metazoa, Chordata, Aves, Passeriformes, Corvidae. The transcript is spliced from 2 exons.
CCGGUGCGCGCCCGUGUGAGCGCGCGUGGCGGGUGCGGGUGCGGGCCGGGUCCGUGUGUGCCUGCGCCCCGCUCCCUGUGUGCUCCCAGGCCGGCACACGCGGUGUGCCCCGUUCUGUGUGUGCGGCUGUUGGGAGCUGCUGUUCCCUGCAUCGCUCUGUGGACCCCCGGUGCGCCUUUGCUGCGCUGCGGCUCCCUUUAGGCACUGGAAGGAUGCUGUGAGGUCUCCCCGCAGCCUUCUCUUCUCCAGACUGAGCAGCCCCAGAUCUCACAGCCUGUCUCCAUAGGAGAGGUGCGCCAGCCCCCGGAGCAUCUCUGUGUCCCUCCUUUGGAGUCGCUCGAGCAGGUCCAUGUCCUUCCUGUGCCGGUGGCCCCCGAUCUGGAUGCAGCAGUGUAACACAGCACCCGUGUGCCGUCCCCACCCGCGGGGCUGCGGGCCGGGCUGUGUGCGGGGAGCUGAGUCUGCAGGGGUCAGCAGCGUGUGCGGCUCUGCAGCUGCGUCAGUCACUCCGAAAGCGGCUCGGAUGCUUGGAUUUGUUACCUUCUUUGGGAGGCUCUGCCUUGGGUUUGUGAGCUCCUCCAUCCGGUUUGGAGACAGAAACCUUUGAAA